UGGUAGAGCACUUCCAUGGUAAGGAAGGGGUCGCCGGUUCAAAUCCGGCUGGAAGCUCUGUAGAAUGUUUUA
This 72-nucleotide transfer RNA is filed under the name Halobacillus sp. BAB-2008. RNAcentral's name for it is "tRNA-Thr". The stretch from base 1 to 57 matches the Rfam family "tRNA", at positions 16 to 71 of the family's 71-position model. From Rfam's summary of the family: Transfer RNA (tRNA) molecules are approximately 80 nucleotides in length. Their secondary structure includes four short double-helical elements and three loops (D, anti-codon, and T loops). Further hydrogen bonds mediate the characteristic L-shaped molecular structure. tRNAs have two regions of fundamental functional importance: the anti-codon, which is responsible for specific mRNA codon recognition, and the 3' end, to which the tRNAs corresponding amino acid is attached (by aminoacyl-tRNA synthetases). tRNAs cope with the degeneracy of the genetic code in two manners: having more than one tRNA (with a specific anti-codon) for a particular amino acid; and 'wobble' base-pairing, i.e. permitting non-standard base-pairing at the 3rd anti-codon position. The record is from RNAcentral. Lineage: Bacteria; Bacillati; Bacillota; Bacilli; Caryophanales; Bacillaceae.